Molecule: ribosomal RNA, 1360 nt
Filed under: Lactiplantibacillus plantarum
Lineage: Bacteria; Bacillati; Bacillota; Bacilli; Lactobacillales; Lactobacillaceae
Description: Lactobacillus plantarum 16S ribosomal RNA
Rfam family: Bacterial small subunit ribosomal RNA
Source: RNAcentral
GAGUGGCGAACUGGUGAGUAACACGUGGGAAACCUGCCCAGAAGCGGGGGAUAACACCUGGAAACAGAUGCUAAUACCGCAUAACAACUUGGACCGCAUGGUCCGAGCUUGAAAGAUGGCUUCGGCUAUCACUUUUGGAUGGUCCCGCGGCGUAUUAGCUAGAUGGUGGGGUAACGGCUCACCAUGGCAAUGAUACGUAGCCGACCUGAGAGGGUAAUCGGCCACAUUGGGACUGAGACACGGCCCAAACUCCUACGGGAGGCAGCAGUAGGGAAUCUUCCACAAUGGACGAAAGUCUGAUGGAGCAACGCCGCGUGAGUGAAGAAGGGUUUCGGCUCGUAAAACUCUGUUGUUAAAGAAGAACAUAUCUGAGAGUAACUGUUCAGGUAUUGACGGUAUUUAACCAGAAAGCCACGGCUAACUACGUGCCAGCAGCCGCGGUAAUACGUAGAUGGCAAGCGUCGUCCGGAUUUAUUGGGCGUAAAGCGAGCGCAGGCGGUUUUUUCAAGUCUGAUGUGAAAGCCUUCGGCUCAACCGAAGAAGUGCAUCGGAAACUGGGAAACUUGAGUGCAGAAGAGGACAGUGGAACUCCAUGUGUAGCGGUGAAAUGCGUAGAUAUAUGGAAGAACACCAGUGGCGAAGGCGGCUGUCUGGUCUGUAACUGACGCUGAGGCUCGAAAGUAUGGGUAGCAAACAGGAUUAGAUACCCUGGUAGUCCAUACCGUAAACGAUGAAUGCUAAGUGUUGGAGGGUUUCCGCCCUUCAGUGCUGCAGCUAACGCAUUAAGCAUUCCGCCUGGGGAGUACGGCCGCAAGGCUGAAACUCAAAGGAAUUGACGGGGGCCCGCACAAGCGGUGGAGCAUGUGGUUUAAUUCGAAGCUACGCGAAGAACCUUACCAGGUCUUGACAUACUAUGCAAAUCUAAGAGAUUAGACGUUCCCUUCGGGGACAUGGAUACAGGUGGUGCAUGGUUGUCGUCAGCUCGUGUCGUGAGAUGUUGGGUUAAGUCCCGCAACGAGCGCAACCCUUAUUAUCAGUUGCCAGCAUUAAGUUGGGCACUCUGGUGAGACUGCCGGUGACAAACCGGAGGAAGGUGGGGAUGACGUCAAAUCAUCAUGCCCCUUAUGACCUGGGCUACACACGUGCUACAAUGGAUGGUACAACGAGUUGCGAACUCGCGAGAGUAAGCUAAUCUCUUAAAGCCAUUCUCAGUUCGGAUUGUAGGCUGCAACUCGCCUACAUGAAGUCGGAAUCGCUAGUAAUCGCGGAUCAGCAUGCCGCGGUGAAUACGUUCCCGGGCCUUGUACACACCGCCCGUCACACCAUGAGAGUUUGUAACACCCAAAGUCGGUGGGGUAAC